UCUGAAAUUACUUAAUAAAGUACUCUGUUUGACGUAUAUAAGUAAGUAUAUAGACUAAGUGCGUAUAAGCUUUGUAAAGUAUAUUACAUAAAGAAUUACAAAAUAGUUUAUUUUAUUUGUCUCUUUAUACCUAUAUUAUAUCGUCUUAUAUUGAUCCUUUUAUGACGAAGGAAUGAUAAUACGCUGAAAUUGUGAUUGUUAAAAACUAAUAUAUCUGUUACAUUAUGACUUCUAAAAAGAUUUUCAUGCUAAGUUGACUUGUAUUGACGUUAUAUGAUUUCAUUCGAUUUUAUACAAUCAUUUGUAUAGUUGAAUGGAAAAAAAGAAUUACAUUAAAAAAAAAUAGGUUUUUGAAAAAUUGAAAUGACUUGAAAUCUCCAAAUGACACCACAAGACACGUUUUUAUACAGUUAUUUGUUACAUAGUUGAAAGGAGAAAAAAAAAUUACAUUAAAAAAUUUAGGUUUAAAAAAUUAAAAUUAUUUCAAAUCUCAAAUUGACACCCAAGACACGUGUUUGAACCAAUUUUCUUGCAAUUGACAACUCUGGUUGAUUACGAUGUACAAUGUCAAUGAUAAAGCUGUUUUUAUAGGAUUAAACUAUGUCAUGUCAUUGUGUUUUUAAAUUUUAGGAUUUGAUUUGAGUUUUAUCUAUGUAUAAAAUCUUUAACAACUUUGACAGUUUAUAUAACUUCUAGAUCUUUUUUCUAAUUUUCAAAUAUUAACUUAGUUUCUUUAUGGGAUUUUUCAGGGAAUGAAAUGUCUGGGGUGGGGUUGGACAACACUUUUUUAUACAGCAACACCCAUAAUUUUUAUUUUCAUUUGUAACAGAAUUGAAUUUGUUUCCACCCACUUUCAAAUGAAAACCGCUUACAUUUUGAAUUUAAUACUUUAACUUUCUUGAGUUGAGAAAUAUUGUAUCAAUGCAGUGUGGUAGAAUCUAUAUUUAUCAUUAUCGCAAUUUUGUGCAUUUUUCCUUUGAUCUUUUUCUGUGAUAAUUUUCAUACCAUGCUUGAGAUGGAAAAUUAUCGCUGGAAACAAAGCAUGAACGUGGUGUUGCUAACGAAAUUGACAUGAAAUUGACAACGUCGUCAUAGGUAAAAUAGCGAUAAAAGAUUAUCAUUGUUCAUCUCAACGUGAAUGCCUUUCUCGCUUUCGCCAUCCCGGCUCAAGCAAGAAUCAAUCUGGUUAAGAUGAUCACCGAUAAUCUAUAAAUAUCCCACAAAAGUAUUCAGAUUUGGAUGAUAUUACAUAGAAAUAAUUAUUCUUUCUUCUGUGAAGUUCAUUUGUCUUCCAGUGAUUCAAACUUCUUGCUAUGUAUGAAACUUGAUCACCAACCUAGUUGUGUACUUAUUUAAAUUCGAACAGAGCCCCAAGUUCUCUAAAAGGAAGCAAUCUUAUUUUAUUAGAUAGAUAAAUUACUAUAAUUUCAUAUGAUCUCUCAUCAGUACAUUUAGAUUCACAAUGAAUAAUUAUGUUUUUUUUUGUUUUUUUUUAGCCCAAAGUUUGUAUUGAUACGUUCAGACAGAGCUUUCAAUGGAGAUGAUGGCUUGGCAACAUGUCUUAUGGUAUUACAUUUGAGAGCACACAGUGUUUCAAAGGAAUUAUUACAUUUUAAACAUAAGAAGUUAAAUGACGACGAAAAUGUAUGAUAACAAGCAGAUGCUGAAUUCUCAGGUUAUUUGAUAAUCAGUGCUUAGGGCUUAGGUAUUGAGAAAUCUUGGACGAAAGCUACAAUUCUUGGCUGUGACCCGCAAUAAAGGAUCAUCUGUCAACUCCCAUCAACUGAAGCUAGCCUCCAAGAGAAAAAACAGAAGGAAACAUUAAGGCAGUUAUAUAUGUCUCUAGAUAUACAUUGUACAAGCUAAUAUAACCAUCAAAACACAC
Molecule: long non-coding RNA, 1885 nt
Filed under: Mytilus galloprovincialis (Mediterranean mussel)
Lineage: Eukaryota; Metazoa; Mollusca; Bivalvia; Mytilida; Mytilidae
Source: RNAcentral